GCUUCUUUUUGAUCAGUUACAUUUCUGUUGGUUAUGAAUAUGGUAUUGAAUUGACUUACCCAGAUUUGGAAAUUAUAUCGGCAAGUUUACUUACACUUUCAGCUAUGGUAUUUGGAAUUGCUUUAACUGAAAUAUCUUCUUUUAUAAUGACAAACGUAAGUGUUCUCGCUUCUAAUGGAGUUUUGUGCAUCAAUCUGUUCUUUUGUUGCAUUUUGUCAAGUUUCAUGACAACUGAAUAUAAAAGAAGCAAGAAAAAUGUUGGUGAGACUGUUCCUGCCCCUUAAAAUCGCAUACAUUUUAUUCUCUUGAAAAACCGAGAAAAUUAUUUUUUGAUGUGAUGAGUUGACAUUGGAUUUCAUGUUCUCUGUGAUGUCAGAUAUAAUUUGUAAUCGAUAAUGAUAUUAGAAGAUAAGAGGAUGAUCUUUUAUCUAAUAUAAUAAGAUAUAAUUUGAUUUUGAAAAAAAAUGGAAGCUAUCUUGAAAGCAAUUAAUUUGUUUAAUUUUAUGUAUACUAUUAUGACAUGUUUCAGAUAUAAUAUUAGAAUUUUUUAUUGUUUAUAUACAGAAAAUAAAGGUGCUGAUGCCAGAUCUACUGAUUGAAUUAAGUGUACUUCUUCGAAGUUUUGUUUCAAACAACGUUCACGGAUACAGGAAGCAAACAUUUUAAAAGCAAUAGAUAAUGCCUCAUCUUUCUUUUGAAUGACAAAUUUUUGAACAUCAUAGUUGACAAAAUGAAACUUUCUUUAGAGUUGAUAUCAAACUAAAAGAUUUUGUGACAGAAAAAUACCAUUUAAUGCUUUAUUUCAGGAGACAAUCAGAAGCUUUCUUCAAGCAAAUAUUUAUCACA
Molecule: long non-coding RNA, 846 nt
Organism: Stegodyphus dumicola
Lineage: Eukaryota; Metazoa; Arthropoda; Arachnida; Araneae; Eresidae
Source: RefSeq, a predicted model, not a curated record